Molecule: small RNA, 275 nt
Filed under: Brevibacillus phage Jenst
Lineage: Duplodnaviria; Heunggongvirae; Uroviricota; Caudoviricetes
Description: BsrG
Rfam family: BsrG
About the family: bsrE, bsrG and bsrH pair through intermolecular interactions with antisense sRNAs. SR4 interaction with the 3'UTR of bsrG RNA promotes bsrG degradation and inhibits its translation.
Source: Rfam by way of RNAcentral
CCCAAUAGAAUCGGCUCUCUCAAGGGUGGUCGGCUCACUCUCUUUUUGCCCUAGAUAAGGGAAAGGGGUUGAGAAUAUGACAGUAUAUGAAGCAAUUUCAUUAAUGAUCGCAUUUGGAUUAUUAAUUGUUGCUAUACUGACAUCCGAUAAAAAGAAAUGACCUCCCUUGAGCCUGGAAACUGAGGGGAGUGUCUAAUCUUCAGUCGAUAUGUGAGCCGACCCUUUGAGGUGAAAGUCUCUUGUACACAUACCGUAAGAUGUUCACGCAUCUUGCG